This 430-nucleotide ribosomal RNA is filed under the name uncultured beta proteobacterium. Its description in RNAcentral is "bacterial SSU rRNA". It matches the Rfam family "Bacterial small subunit ribosomal RNA", at positions 1 to 437 of the family's 1533-position model. The record is from RNAcentral. Lineage: Bacteria; Pseudomonadati; Pseudomonadota; Betaproteobacteria.
UAGAGUUUGAUCCUGGCUCAGAUUGAACGCUGGCGGCAUGCUUUACACAUGCAAGUCGAGCGGCAGCGCGGGGGCAACCCUGGCGGCGAGCGGCGAACGGGUGAGUAAUACAUCGGAACGUGUCCCGUAGUGGGGGAUAACCCGGCGAAAGCCGGACUAAUACCGCAUAUGCUCUACGGAGGAAAGUGGGGGACCCGCAAGGGCCUCAUGCUAUGGGAGCGGCCGAUGUCCGAUUAGCUUGUUGGUGAGGUAACGGCUUACCAAGGCGACGAUCGGUAGCUGGUCUGAGAGGAUGAUCAGCCACACUGGGACUGAGACACGGCCCAGACUCCUACGGGAGGCAGCAGUGGGGAAUUUUGGACAAUGGGGGCAACCCUGAUCCAGCCAUGCCGCGUGCGGGAAGAAGGCCUUCGGGUUGUAAACCGCUUUU